GGCAAAGCCCAGGUGUCAGGGACCCACGUGGACAGUGGCUACCUGCGGGCUCAGGCUUUGGGGCCAGGCUUUUCCCCGAAGGGCCUGGCCCGGAGGAGGAUUUCAGGAAAUGUGCAAUCUGGAAAUGAAUGACUGAGAAUCAAAAGUCCACAUGGUACAGAUACACAGCUGCCUUCCUCAACUCCACUGCACAAGAAUCAAGGGUAAAAACCCGACCUGUGCCUCGUCUUGUCUAUACAAUUAUAACAUAGACUUUGAUUUCUCCUGUAUGUCACAUUAAUCA
Chinchilla lanigera (long-tailed chinchilla) is the source of this 283-nucleotide long non-coding RNA. RefSeq lists it as uncharacterized. NCBI's taxonomy places the organism in Eukaryota, Metazoa, Chordata, Mammalia, Rodentia, Chinchillidae. The transcript is spliced from 3 exons. The record is from RefSeq and is a predicted model, not a curated record.